Molecule: ribosomal RNA, 468 nt
Filed under: uncultured bacterium
Lineage: Bacteria
Description: partial 16S ribosomal RNA
Rfam family: Bacterial small subunit ribosomal RNA
Source: RNAcentral
GACGAACGCUGGCGGCGUGCUUAACACAUGCAAGUCGAACGGAAAGGCCCUGCUUUUGUGGGGUGCUCGAGUGGCGAACGGGUGAGUAACACGUGAGUAACCUGCCCUUGACUUUGGGAUAACUUGAGGAAACUGGGGCUAAUACCGGAUAGGAGCUCCUGCUGCAUGGUGGGGGUUGGAAAGUUUCGGCGGUUGGGGAUGGACUCGCGGCUUAUCAGCUUGUUGGUGGGGUAGUGGCUUACCAAGGCUUUGACGGGUAGCCGGCCUGAGAGGGUGACCGGCCACAUUGGGACUGAGAUACGGCCCAGACUCCUACGGGAGGCAGCAGUGGGGAAUAUUGCACAAUGGGCGGAAGCCUGAUGCAGCAACGCCGCGUGCGGGAUGACGGCCUUCGGGUUGUAAACCGCUUUCGCCUGUGACGAAGCGUGAGUGGCGGUAAUGGGUAAAGAAGCACCGGCUAACUACGUG